RNAcentral lists this ribosomal RNA (438 nucleotides) under uncultured Gammaproteobacteria bacterium. RNAcentral's name for it is "bacterial SSU rRNA". It matches the Rfam family "Bacterial small subunit ribosomal RNA", at positions 338 to 793 of the family's 1533-position model. The record is from RNAcentral. Lineage: Bacteria; Pseudomonadati; Pseudomonadota; Gammaproteobacteria.
CCUACGGGAGGCAGCAGUGGGGAAUAUUGGACAAUGGGCGAAAGCCUGAUCCAGCAAUGCCGCGUGUGUGAAGAAGGCCUGCGGGUUGUAAAGCACUUUCAGUUGGGAAGAUGAUGACGUUACCAACAGAAGAAGCACCGGCUAAAUCCGUGCCAGCAGCCGCGGUAAUAUGGAUGGUGCGAGCGUUAAUCGGAAUUACUGGGCGUAAAGCGCGCGUAGGCGGCUAAGUCAGUCAGAAGUGAAAGCCCCGGGCUCAACCUGGGAAUUGCUUUUGAUACUGCUUAGCUAGAGUUUGGUAGAGGAUAGUGGAAUUCCAGGUGUAGCGGUGAAAUGCGUAGAUAUCUGGAGGAACAUCAGUGGCGAAGGCGACUGUCUGGACCAAAACUGACGCUGAGGUGCGAAAGCGUGGGUAGCAAACAGGAUUAGAUACCCUGGUAG